Molecule: ribosomal RNA, 371 nt
Filed under: Kraepelinia palpator
Lineage: Eukaryota; Metazoa; Arthropoda; Arachnida; Scorpiones; Buthidae
Description: partial 16S ribosomal RNA
Rfam family: Archaeal large subunit ribosomal RNA
Source: RNAcentral
UAGUCUUUUAAUUGAGGACUGGAAUGAAAGGGUAAACUGGAAAAAAUUUUUUAGGGUUAAAUUAGUGAAGUUGACUUUUUAGUAAGAAGGCUAAAAUAUUUCUUAAAGACGAGAAGACCCUAUAAAACUUUAUAUUUAGUACUUUUUUUGAUAAGAGAGUAAAUAUUUUACUGGGGCGGUGAAAGAAAAAUCUUUUUUUAAAUUUAAAGAUUUUAAAUCUUGGUAUCUAAAAUUUUUAAAAGAAGAAUAAGUUACUUUAGGGAUAACAGCUUUAUUCCUUUAAAUAGUUCUAAUUGACAAAGGAGUUUGUGACCUCGAUGUUGAAUUAAAAAUCCUUUUUAGUGCAAAAGCUUAAAAGGAGGUCUGUCGCC